AGAGUUUGAUCAUGGCUCAGAGUGAACGCUGGCGGUAGGCCUAACACAUGCAAGUCGAACGGCAGCACAGUAAGAGCUUGCUCUUAUGGGUGGCGAGUGGCGGACGGGUGAGGAAUACAUCGGAAUCUACCUUUUCGUGGGGGAUAACGUAGGGAAACUUACGCUAAUACCGCAUACGACCUUCGGGUGAAAGCAGGGGACCUUCGGGCCUUGCGCGGAUAGAUGAGCCGAUGUCGGAUUAGCUAGUUGGCGGGGUAAAGGCCCACCAAGGCGACGAUCCGUAGCUGGUCUGAGAGGAUGAUCAGCCACACUGGAACUGAGACACGGUCCAGACUCCUACGGGAGGCAGC
RNAcentral lists this ribosomal RNA (350 nucleotides) under uncultured bacterium. Its description in RNAcentral is "bacterial SSU rRNA". It matches the Rfam family "Bacterial small subunit ribosomal RNA", at positions 8 to 352 of the family's 1533-position model. The record is from RNAcentral.